This 726-nucleotide ribosomal RNA is filed under the name Rhizobiaceae bacterium KAs5-R12. Its description in RNAcentral is "bacterial SSU rRNA". It matches the Rfam family "Bacterial small subunit ribosomal RNA", at positions 9 to 783 of the family's 1533-position model. The record is from RNAcentral. Lineage: Bacteria; Pseudomonadati; Pseudomonadota; Alphaproteobacteria; Hyphomicrobiales; Rhizobiaceae.
GAGUUUGAUCCUGGCUCAGAACGAACGCUGGCGGCAGGCUUAACACAUGCAAGUCGAACGCCCCGCAAGGGGAGUGGCAGACGGGUGAGUAACGCGUGGGAAUCUACCGUACCCUACGGAAUAACGCAUGGAAACGUGUGCUAAUACCGUAUACGCCCUACGGGGGAAAGAUUUAUCGGGGUAUGAUGAGCCCGCGUUGGAUUAGCUAGUUGGUGGGGUAAAGGCCUACCAAGGCGACGAUCCAUAGCUGGUCUGAGAGGAUGAUCAGCCACAUUGGGACUGAGACACGGCCCAAACUCCUACGGGAGGCAGCAGUGGGGAAUAUUGGACAAUGGGCGCAAGCCUGAUCCAGCCAUGCCGCGUGAGUGAUGAAGGUCUUAGGAUUGUAAAGCUCUUUCACCGAUGAAGAUAAUGACGGUAGUCGGAGAAGAAGCCCCGGCUAACUUCGUGCCAGCAGCCGCGGUAAUACGAAGGGGGCUAGCGUUGUUCGGAAUUACUGGGCGUAAAGCGCACGUAGGCGGAUAUUUAAGUCAGGGGUGAAAUCCCGCAGCUCAACUGCGGAACUGCCUUUGAUACUGGGUAUCUCGAGUAUGGAAGAGGUGAGUGGAAUUCCGAGUGUAGAGGUGAAAUUCGUAGAUAUUCGGAGGAACACCAGUGGCGAAGGCGGCUCACUGGUCCAUUACUGACGCUGAGGUGCGAAAGCGUGGGGAGCAAACAGGAUUAGAU